RNAcentral lists this long non-coding RNA (1356 nucleotides) under Lotus japonicus. Its description in RNAcentral is "long non-coding RNA (LJAP_LNC001741)". Lineage: Eukaryota; Viridiplantae; Streptophyta; Magnoliopsida; Fabales; Fabaceae. The record is from RNAcentral.
GUGGUAAAGCCUAAAAGUCAAAUUAAGAAAGAAAUAAUGAAUGAACUUAAUUAACUGAAUUUAUUUCUAGAGUUUACCAAGGGCUAUCUCAAGCUCAUAGCAGAUCCCUUUUCUUAGUUAAUAGUUUGAUCUCAAAAUAGUCAUGGGCAAAAAUAAAGAACUUGCAAAAUACUCAAUUUAGGUUUUUUCCUCAGGCAGCAACUACUAAUAUGUAGUGGUAGCUAAGACAGAGCUAACCACAAAACAAGGCUCAAGCAGCAGUAUAAUUGGUUUACAUUGGAGGCUUCCCAGAACCAAGCAGCUGACCAAUUAGAUUAGUAACCUGUUGUCAAUAUUUGAGAAUUAUUUCCCCGAUGAUUGAUUUCCAAGGCGUUAUGCGAAUUUGGGUGGAAAAUGAGUUUUCAAGGGAAAAUCUCAAGUUGGAAGGGCCUCUUGGUUGGCCAUGGGUUGGCUCGUUGCCCAAAUGGUUUCCCUAUACCAAGGUGCCCCGUGAGCUCCCAUGUCAAUUUUUGAGAAUUCAUUCCCCAAUGAUGGAUUUCCAAGACUAACCUAUGCGAAUUUAGGUGGAAAAUGAGUAGUGACAUGGGAUCUCACGGGGGCUCUCUAUGCCAAUGUGCCCCCGUGAGCGGAGCCCCCGUGAGCUCCCAGGUGCAUUAAAAUAAUGCGAGAGAAUGUGUAGUAGUGAGUGUUAACAAAACCAUACUCGUACCCCUUGUGUUUGAGUGAUUUAUUCAUAAUUUUAUCAUUAAUAUUAGUAGUUGAAUCAUUCUUAAUAAAAUUUAAACUGUGCUAUUAUUGCAUCUUUUAACUCAUUAAAGAGAAUCAUAUAUGUAUAUUAUCUUAAUUUACAUCUUAAGAGUAAAUUAUAUUUGAAGUAAAUGAAUAAGGGGGGUGAAAAACAUGUAAGAGGAUACAAUUCCUUUUCAACUAUUUUAUAUUAUUCUUUUUUCCCUCAAUUCACACAUCUUAAAAAUUCUUUCAUUUUCUCUGUAUUUUCUUUUCCUUCUAUAUUCUUUUUAUUCGUUUUUUCCCUCUUAUUUCCACUUCCCAUCCAAACAAAACAUAAAUAUCUUCGCAUGGAGAAAGAGCAACACAAAAGCAAUAAAGUUAACAUGAUGAUAAACUGUGGUAAAGCCUAAAAGUCAAAUUAAGAAAGAAAUAAUGAAUGAACUUAAUUAACUGAAUUUAUUUCUAGAGUUUACCAAGGGCUAUCUCAAGCUCAUAGCAGAUCCCUUUUCUUAGUUAAUAGUUUGAUCUCAAAAUAGUCAUGGGCAAAAAUAAAGAACUUGCAAAAUACUCAAUUUAGGUUUUUUCCUCAGGCAGCAACUACUAAUAUGUAGUGGUAGCUAAGACAGA